This 1112-nucleotide ribosomal RNA is filed under the name Campylobacter rectus. RNAcentral's name for it is "bacterial LSU rRNA". It matches the Rfam family "Bacterial large subunit ribosomal RNA", at positions 1781 to 2905 of the family's 2925-position model. The record is from RNAcentral. Lineage: Bacteria; Pseudomonadati; Campylobacterota; Epsilonproteobacteria; Campylobacterales; Campylobacteraceae.
AACAAAGAGUCCCUCCCGACUGUUUACCAAAAACACAGCACUCUGCUAACUCGUAAGAGGAUGUAUAGGGUGUGACGCCUGCCCGGUGCUCGAAGGUUAAUUGAUGACGUUAGCUCUGCGAAGCGUUUGAUCGAAGCCCGAGUAAACGGCGGCCGUAACUAUAACGGUCCUAAGGUAGCGAAAUUCCUUGUCGAUUAAAUAUCGACCUGCAUGAAUGGCGUAACGAGAUGGGAGCUGUCUCGAAGAGGGAUCCAGUGAAAUUGUAGUGGAGGUGAAAAUUCCUCCUACCCGCGGCAAGACGGAAAGACCCCGUGGACCUUUACUACAGCUUGACACUGCUACUUGGAUAAAGAUGCGCAGGAUAGGUGGGAGGCUUUGAUUCGUAGAUCUCGGUUUACGAUGAGCCAUUGUUGAGAUACCACCCUUCUUUAUUCGGGUAGCUAACUAGCCUAAGUUAUCCUUAGGUAGGACAAUGUCUGGUGGGUAGUUUGACUGGGGCGGUCGCCUCCCAAAAUGUAACGGAGGCUUACAAAGGUUGGCUCAAAGCGGUUGGAAAUCGCUUGUAGAGUAUAAAGGCAAAAGCCAGCUUAACUGCGAGACAUACACGUCGAGCAGAGACGAAAGUCGGUCUUAGUGAUCCGGUGGUUCUGUGUGGAAGGGCCAUCGCUCAAAGGAUAAAAGGUACCCCGGGGAUAACAGGCUGAUCUCCCCCAAGAGCUCACAUCGACGGGGAGGUUUGGCACCUCGAUGUCGGCUCAUCGCAUCCUGGGGCUGGAGCAGGUCCCAAGGGUAUGGCUGUUCGCCAUUUAAAGCGGUACGCGAGCUGGGUUCAGAACGUCGUGAGACAGUUCGGUCCCUAUCUGCCGUGGGCGCAAGAAGAUUGAGGAGAGUUGACCCUAGUACGAGAGGACCGGGUUGAACCGACCACUGGUGUACCAGUUAUCCUGCCAAGGGUAGCGCUGGGUAGCUAUGUCGGGAUGAGAUAACCGCUGAAAGCAUCUAAGCAGGAAGCCAACUCCAAGAUGAAUCUUCUUUUAAGAGCUCUUAUAGACUAUAAGUUUGAUAGGCCGGGUGUGUAAUGGAUGAAAGUCCUUUAGCUGACCGGUACUAAU